AACGAACGCUGGCGGCAUGCCUAACACAUGCAAGUCGAACGAAACCUUCGUGGCUUGUUUCGCACGAGUGCGUACCGCCUGGGAACCGGCCCUUAAGUUCGGAACAACUCCCCGAAUGGGGUGCUAAUACCGGAUAAUGUCUUCGGACCAAAGAUUUAUCGCGUCUGGAUGGGCCCGAGUUGGAUUAGCUAGUUGGUAGGGUAAAAGCCUACCAAGGCGACGAUUCAUAGCUGGUCUGAGCGGAGGAUCAGCGACACUGGGACUAAGACACGGACCAGUCUCGUACGGGGGGCAGCGGUGGGGAGUAUUAGACAAUGAGGGAGAGUGUGGUCCAGCAGUGCCGCGGGAGUGAUGCAGGCCUUAGGGUUGUAAAGCGCUUUUAACCGGGCUGUUAAUGACGGUACCGGGAGAAUAAGCACCGGCUAACUCCGUG
This 433-nucleotide ribosomal RNA is filed under the name uncultured bacterium. RNAcentral's name for it is "partial 16S ribosomal RNA". It matches the Rfam family "Bacterial small subunit ribosomal RNA", at positions 29 to 507 of the family's 1533-position model. The record is from RNAcentral.